AAGGCACACAGAGAGGCUCCUUUGUAAUGACUUCCAGUUCUGGCCUGUACGUUCCCCUCCAGGACCCUCGCCAACUCCACCGCAAAGGCCCAAGGCAGGUGCUUCCAGAAUGGUCUCCUGACAAGCCUGCGGACACCUCCCCCUCCAAGUUCCAUGCGUCCCUCCCCAGGCUCCUGCCAACGAUACUCUGGGUGGUGGAGUUACUGUCCUCCCCUGAAUUUCCGGCUUAGGACAGAACAGCGGGGAGGGCCCCGGGCACGUCUAUAGGAACCACACCCUCCGUGGAAGGUAUAAAGGGAAAGGCUGGCACUGACCACCCCCACCACCUGCUGUGACGAUGAAACCCGGCAGCCUCCUCCCCUUCAUGGUGCUCCUUGCCCUCCAAAUCCUCAAAUCCUGGGCUGCGGAAGAUGCUAGCAAAGAAAACGCCAAGCACGGAGACUGCCCCUUCACACCUCCUGUGAUGUGCUUGAACCCCCUCAGUGCCGGAGCGACUGGCAGUGUCCAAAGGAGCAGAAAUGCUGUCGUGAAUAUUGUGGCAUCAAAUGUGUGGAUCCUGUAGACCCAUCAAAGCCUGUUAUGGUCAAUCCUGGGAAAUGUCCAGUGGUCACUGAGCAGUGCAAGAGGCCCAACCCCAGGGACUUCUGCAUGAAUGACGGCCACUGCCUUCAUGGUCUCAAGUGCUGCAAGGGGGUAUGUGGGAAGUCCUGUGUUGAGCCAGUGAAAGAUGUAUUCUUGCCAGUUCAACAAGAUUAGGACUUCCCGGUACGUGUGGUCUGAGGAUUCCUUUGUUCCCCAAGCCCAAGAAAAAGGAAAGUGUCUUGAUGCAGGUGUGGCUCCAUGACAAACACCUCCAGGGUGCUAAUGUUGGGUCUGUUUUAUCCGUGUAUGCCCAGCAUCCAACGUGAGGCUUGGCACACAAGAGGAAAUGACAGUUCAUUAGUGAAUAAAUAAAGACCCAAUGUUUUCUCUGU
Long non-coding RNA from Mustela lutreola (European mink), 974 nucleotides. RefSeq lists it as uncharacterized. The transcript is spliced from 4 exons. Lineage: Eukaryota; Metazoa; Chordata; Mammalia; Carnivora; Mustelidae. The record is from RefSeq and is a predicted model, not a curated record.